GAGAAGUUGAUCAAAAAUUGAUUGCAAUAUUUGUCCCUAACAAACAUAUAAACAUACAUACAUACAUACAGAGCAAGAUAAGGAGUUUUAGUUUGGAUUGAAGUUCCACUCUACGGGGUUAGGCUUUCGAUACGUUCUCCUUGUAUAUAUAAAAAAACAUACAGAGCAAGUGAAAUCCAAGCUUGUAAUAUAGAGGUACUUCAAAACUUUCACACAAAAUUGUAACAAUUCCUCUCUGCAAUGAAAAAUUGUCCACGGAGAAAAAGGCUUAACUGACACUGCGGGCACAAAAAAAUGUUAACAGAGUACAAUUAAGCACUUAAGCCAAAAUUGCUUUCGCUAUAACUUGGUAACGGAACUUCGUAGGACUUUGAAAUUUUGACAGCUGGUGCGUAUGGUGGUAGGUAAUCGAUUUCCGUCAAAACCAGAAAAUCGAACAGGUUGUCGCUGACGCCCUUUUGGCGGUUAGGGCUCGACAUUCUACACAACGUCCGCAACUUCUGCAUUUGAUCGAAAUUUAUUGAGAGAGCAAUAAUUUAAUGUUGAUAACUUGCGUAUGUUCUUCUCAGUAAAUCAACCAGAUGGACGACGGACAGCCCAUUCAGCUUUAAAGUUGAUAUCAUAUGCAGAAAUAGGCUACUAUUCCACGGAGCUCUUAUUUUGUUAGCUGGAGAUUUUCGGUAGACCCUUCCGAUAAUAAAUUUGGUGCUACGUCAAAAAGUUUACUCUGGCCACUAAUAUGUGUAAGCUAUCGUGAGAAUUCAACAUUCGCACAGGUUGCUUGCAUCAAAGUAACCAAAUAUUCCACACGAGCCGCUAAGUCAGCACAUUCAACAUUCACCGCUAAGUCAGCAAAGCGCAGUGGAAACGUCGGCAGAGGAACAGCAGUGCAGCGCAAAGUGGUGGCUUAGGUUUAAGCUAGGAAAUUAUUUACGGACACACAGUCUUUGAAGAUAAAUUAGAGCGAAACAGAUUUAAGUCCCCAAGGAACGAAUUAUAUUUGGGGAGUGUGUGGAAGGAAGCCAUCAACGAUCAAUGAGAAUCCUGGGAAUUUUUAAACACCACUACCCGAUAGAGAGGGAACGAGACCACAAGUGGGAAUCCUGAAUACUUAUAGAAGUACAUAUGUUAAGGAUGAAAAGAAAUGGCAUAGAAUUGGUUAUAGCCAUAUUGGUAUCGGCAUCAACAGGACGAGUAAUAGACUAUUCCAAUGCAAGGUGCAUUCCGGUGGCCAGCGGUGACCUCGUAAUUUGGGAAAACUUUGGACACAUCAAGCACGUCACCAACUUGACCCUAUACGAAUUACUAAGGGACGCGACAAUCAACGGAAGUCCUCAAAUCAUCAAAUCAAUGGAAGUUGCUAGAAGCGGACGUAAACCACAUAAGUUGGCUAAUACAGACGGUAAAUACUCAUCACAGGCAGGCGAGAGGCUUGUAUGCUCUAGGGACGGUCCAAUUAAUUGACUCGUAGGACAGGCAGUUUACCAUUAACAGAAACAGAGCAAUAAUUACAGAACUAGAUAAUAUAAUUACUUCCACCACAUUCGCAAAAAUUGGAAUCUUGAACCCUAUUCUCUUAGACAGUAACGAAAUAAAUUUCAUAAUGGAAAACGAGUACUUCACAACCCUUACUGUAGCUGAUGUUAUGACGGUAGCUUAGGUUAAGGUUUUACAAUACAAUAAUGAGUUAUGUUUUGUAAUAAGAUAUCCUAUUCGUAAGUUGAGAUGUAGGAAAAUUAUUAUUGUACAGUAGCUCGCGGCCACCAAAUUCUCCACCUUAAAAAAUCCAUCUUAGCUACAUGUCGCAAUCACACCUUACCGGUGAGGAACUGCAGCGACACAACGCCAACGUUUAAUAACGUCGCACCAAUUGCACCGAUAAGUGACGGUCUAGUCGUCAUCAAUGAUCAGCUGGCUGUUGUAGAAGAAAAUAACGAGGCCCCCAUCACGGUCAACGGUACUUACCUAAUUGUCUUCAAGGAUAGCGUAGAAAUCAAUGCACGAUAUUUCACAAUGAAAAUUCAACGAUGCCUCUGAAGCCCGAAACUCUAUCGGCUUCCGCAACCAACCUAACGCAGCAUACCGAGAUACUGAGCGCCUCCUACCUCCACCAUGUAAAUCAACAGAACCUUCAACACAUCAAUCAUCUGCGACAAACAGUUGAACAAGGUUGCGUCGGAGGUUUGUCGGCUACUGGGGUCUUAUUAAUUGCGGGACUCGCAGCUUACGUACUUUGACGCAUGGCCAUGAUCAAGAGCAAGAUUUUCAUAAUCAGGUCCGUAGAGGUUCCAAUCAAAAAUGCUGCUACGAGGACCGUGGACGUCCCUCAUUUAGAAGGGGAGGAGUUAUCGUGGGAAGCCCUCACAUUCCACAUUCGCACAGGUUGCUUGCAUCUAAGCAACCAAAAAUUCUACACGAGCCGCUAAGUCAGCACACUCAACAUUCACACAGGUUGUUUGCACCUAAGCAACCAAAUAUUCUAUACGAACCGCUUAGUCAGCAAAGCGCAGUGGAAACGUCGGCAAAGGAACAGCAGCGCAGCGCAAAGUGGUGGCUUAGGUUUAAGUUAGGAAAUUAUCGUAAGUUUAGUUUUUAUACUCACUUCAAACCGACAGUCAGUGGCUGUAAUAAAUUGUCAAUAAUAUUAGAACAAAAUCGUUUAAUUUGUAUAACGGUCGGUUGCUAAAUGUCUCUUUAACAAUAAAAUAAACAUCAUUAUAGACGUUGGCUGCAUAAAUUAACAGGAAUUCGAUCACGUCGAUAACAAUAUUUAACCUGUAGUUAGUGUUAACCAGACAUUGAGUAAUAGGCCCUAAUUCUGCAACAAGAUGCUUCAGCUGCCAAUUUUUCAAAAAAAUACUAGAUAUUGGUCACGGAAAGGUUCAAAUUGAUGAAGAACCAAAGUUCGUUUCACUUCCACCUAAUUUUUGCGACAACGUGACAUCGUUUGAGGAAUUAAUUUAACAAAAAUUCCAUGGAUUGAGCUCAAUUACAAAAUCAUCAAUGGGCCUGCGAAUGUGCUUUUUAUUUAUUUAUUUAUUUAUUACACAUAUGACCUUAUAUAACAAAUAUUACAAAUUCAACACUUUUUCAUUAAGAGUAGAGAUAGGGUAAUGUUAAUUUUCUUUUACAGCUAUUUUAAUUUUUCUUUUAAUCUGGAUGUAAUAUA
Rhagoletis zephyria (snowberry fruit fly) is the source of this 3169-nucleotide RNA transcript. RefSeq lists it as uncharacterized. Lineage: Eukaryota; Metazoa; Arthropoda; Insecta; Diptera; Tephritidae. The record is from RefSeq and is a predicted model, not a curated record.